RNAcentral lists this ribosomal RNA (2490 nucleotides) under Triticum aestivum (bread wheat). RNAcentral describes it as "partial small subunit ribosomal RNA". The record is from RNAcentral. Lineage: Eukaryota; Viridiplantae; Streptophyta; Magnoliopsida; Poales; Poaceae.
AUGUCGUCCAGGAAGACCGCGGGCCCGUCCCGCGCCGCCGCCGGCGGCGCGAAGAAGGUGGCUAGUGGCGCGCGGGGCGUGAGCCUCCGGGCGCUGCGGGAGGGGCUUGCUCGCCAGAAGGAGGAGGAGGAGCGCAGGGCGCGGGAGCAGGAGCUGCAGGCGCAGGCGGAGGAGGAGAGGGGGCGGCGGGAGGCGGAGGAGGAGGAGGAGAGGAGGAAGCUGAGGGAGCAGGAGCUGAAGCGGAGGGAGGAGGACAGGCAGCGGAGGCGGCUGGAGGAGAGGAAGCGGGAGGAGAGCCGGCGCGCGGAGGAGGCGCGCAGGCGGCUCGGCAUCACCGCCCCCCUUGUUGAGGGCGGCGGUGCUGCUGGUGUGGAUGAUGGCCGGAAGAAGCGGCCGGUGUAUCACUCCAGGAGACCUGCGUUGAAGCCCAAGACUGUCGAAUCUGAAGCUGAUGUGGGAGGAGACCAGGGCUCGAGCGGUGUUUCGCAAGAAGAGGAAAACAGCGCCGCCCUCAAUGAGGCGCUCAAAUUGGGGGAGGGAUCAAGCGAUGGAUCAUUGGAAGAGGACAGAACAGCAAUCGGUGAUGAUGAUGAUGAGGAGGAGGAUGCUUGGGAUAGCAAGAGCCUCGAUGAAUUUGAUGUCAUGUCUGCUGCUGGCAAUUCUCACUCAUCUGGUUCUGAAGAAGAUAUCAAAGAGAAACAUGUUAUCUCCACUGCUCCGGUCGUUAAUCCAGACAAUGCAGUCAAUGAGAUUGUGGAGGAUAUCUUCGACGCUCAGGAUGUAGCUUCAGGAGAUGAAAAGGAGCUUCGGGCACCGAUAUGCUGCAUCCUUGGGCACGUGGAUGCCGGAAAGACGAAGCUCCUCGAUUGCAUCCGGGGCACCCAUGUGCAGGAGCGGGAGGCCGGGGGCAUCACACAACAGAUUGGCGCCACCUACUUACCGGCUGAAAACAUCAGGGACAGGACGAGUUUAAAAGCUGAAACCGCCAUCAAAGUUCCUGGUUUGCUCGUGAUUGACACCCCUGGCCAUGAGUCCUUCAGUAAAAUGCGCUCAAGGGGAUUGAGUAUGUGUGACGUCGCCGUGGUUGUCGUCGAUAUUACGAAGGGGCUUGAGAAGCAGACAGUUGAAUCCCUCCAUCUUUUGAGACGCCACAAUGUGAGCUUCAUUGUCGCCUUGAACAAGGUUGACCGGCUCUAUGGGUGGAAGGAAUGUACCAAUGCACCAAUAGUCGAGGCACUCAAGAAGCAAUCUGAUGACGUCAAAAGUGAAUACAAAUGGAGGUUAACUAAGGUUGUAACAGAUUUUAAGGAAAAUGGCUUCAACACUGCUCCUUACUAUGAAAACAAUAAGAAGAAAAAAGUGGUUAACAUUGCCCCGACCAGUGCUGAAAGCGGUGAAGGUGUGCCAGAUCUUCUACUGCUACUGGUGCGAUGGCUGCCUGACAUAAUUACAGAUAAGCUGGCCUAUGACGAUACAGUAGAGUGUACAGUACUAGAAGUCAAUGAACAUAAAGAUUUGGGAACUACUGUUGACGUAGUACUGAUUAAUGGUGUGCUGCGCCAAGGGGAUCAAGUAAUUGUUUGCACUAAACAGGGGCCUGUUACAACCAUUAUUAGAGAUUUGUUGACCCCUCAUCCAAUGAAAGAACUCAAAGCUAAGGGUGCAUAUAAGCAUCACAAGGAGGUCAGAGCUGGGCAGGGGGUAAAAAUUGUGGCACGGACUUGCAAGGAGGGCAUCUAUGUGCAAGCUUCCAGUGUUGGAACCUUGGAAGCUAUCAUUGCGCACUUGAAGAGCAGUAGUGUGGACAUUCCUGUUUAUGCUUGGAACUUAGGACCCGUGUACAAGCAGGAUGUCAUGAAGGCAAGUGCCAUGCUGAAGCGGAAAGAAGAGUAUGCAGUCAUCUUGGCCUUUGACGUCAAAGUGAUGCCUGAGGCUAGUGCCCUUGCAGCUGAAUCAGGGUUGAAGAUUAUUACUGCUGAUACGGUAUAUAGGCUCGUCAACAUCUAUACUGAGCACAUUAAGGGAUUGAAGGAAGCGAAGAAAAUGCAAUUUGCAGCUGAGGCAGUUUUCCCAUGCACCCUGAAGAUUCUGCCAAACCGUGUCUACCAUAGCAAGGAUCCAAUUGUUUGCGACGUUGAAGUUGUGGAAGGUGUCGUCAAGGUGGGAACCCCGAUAUGUGUCUUCACCCCGAGCAAGGAUAAAAGCAAGAAUAUAAUAGUUCAUAGCCUCGGGAGGAUCUCCUCCAUGCAAACGUCCAAUGGCAAUCAGAUUUUCUCGGCCAGGAAUGGAGUUGUGGCCAUAAAGAUAAGCGGUGACAGCCCUCAGGAGAAAUCCCGGUCUUAUGGACGGCAUUUUGAUUCUAGCAAUGAGCUGGUCAGCGAGAUCUCGAGGAGAUCCAUCGAUGUGCUCAAAGAGUGCUUUCGGGAUGAAAUGAGGGCUGAAAAUUGGCAGCUUAUCAGCAGGCUGAAGACACAGUUCAAGAUAGCCUGA